AGAGUUUGAUUCUGGCUCAGGAUGAACGCUAGCGGCAGGCCUAACACAUGCAAGUCGAGGGGUAACAGGGGGUGCUUGCACUCUGCUGACGACCGGCGCACGGGUGCGUAACGCGUACGCAACCUACCUUCUACAGGGGGAUAGCCCAGAGAAAUUUGGAAUAAUACCCCAUACGAUCUUUACUUGGCAUCGAGUAAAGAAGAAAACUUUUGUGGUAGAAGAUGGGCAUGCGUCCUAUUAGUUAGUUGGUGAGGUAACGGCUCACCAAGACAUCGAUAGGUAGGGGCCCUGAGAGGGGGAUCCCCCACACUGGUACUGAGACACGGACCAGACUCCUACGGGAGGCAGCAGUGAGGAAUAUUGGACAAUGGGGGCAACCCUGAUCCAGCCAUGCCGCGUGCAGGAAGACUGCCCUAUGGGUUGUAAACUGCUUUUAUACAGGAAGAAACUGCGCUACGUGUAGCGUACUGACGGUACUGUAAGAAUAAGGAUCGGCUAACUCCGUGCCAGCAGCCGCGGUAAUUC
RNAcentral lists this ribosomal RNA (525 nucleotides) under uncultured bacterium. Its description in RNAcentral is "bacterial SSU rRNA". It matches the Rfam family "Bacterial small subunit ribosomal RNA", at positions 8 to 526 of the family's 1533-position model. The record is from RNAcentral.